UUUUUUAUUUAUAAAAUAGAACUCAUAAUAUUAAUAAUAUAUUUUUUUAUAGACUUUUUUUUUACUCUUUUUAAAAAAAAAGCAUAAAUCUAGAAAAAUAAUAUUUGUCUAAAGAAUGUUUAAUUAAAAAACAAAAAUUAAAAAAUGCAAUUUUUUUGAUUUCUUUUUUUUGUAAAAAAAAUAGAAAUAAAAGGUAAAAACAUGAAAGUUGAGAUAUGGAGUU
Molecule: long non-coding RNA, 223 nt
Filed under: Lathyrus oleraceus (garden pea)
Lineage: Eukaryota; Viridiplantae; Streptophyta; Magnoliopsida; Fabales; Fabaceae
Description: Pisum sativum (pea) long non-coding RNA (PSAT_LNC037176)
Source: RNAcentral